Molecule: ribosomal RNA, 119 nt
Filed under: Pteropus alecto (black flying fox)
Lineage: Eukaryota; Metazoa; Chordata; Mammalia; Chiroptera; Pteropodidae
Source: RNAcentral
GCCUAUGGCCAUGCCACCCUGAACACGCCCGAUCUCGUCUGAUCUCGGAAGCUAAGCAGGGUCGGGCCUGGUUAGUACUUGGAUGGGAGACCACCUAGGAAGACCAGGCGCUGUAGGCU